AUGGAAGCGGACGAGGCCCCUCACCCACCGCCGCCGUGGAAGCAGAACAAGUCGGCCGUGGCCGUCGAGGCCUCGUCGGGCUCGCUCGCCUCCGCCGCCGCGCGCUUGUCAGCCCGCUCCCGCGCGAUCCCUCCGGCCCGCGACUUCCAUUUCUACAACAACUUCCCCUCCUUCAAGUCCCCCGUCGCCGCCGCCGCCGCCAGGGCCGAGUCCUCCCUGGGCGUCCUCGGCGCCUCCACGCUCCUCCCCAAGCAGCAGCAGCAGCAGCCGCCUUUCCCCACGGAGGACCUCGACGACGCCUACGACUGGCUCGUCGCCCGCAAUGACGACCUGCUCGAGAUGUUUGCCGCCUCCGCGGACGAGUUCAAGGCGCUGCGGGAGAAGGAGGAGGCCCAGGGACGGAAAGUCGCGGCAGAAGAGAUGGCGGGGGACGGGUUCCAGGUUGUCUACGGCAAGAAGAAGAAGAAGGUGGGUAUGGGAGAGGAAGGAGUUGGCAGAAGUGAGGCCUUUGGAUCUUCUGGUUCGGUGAGGAUGGCCACCAUGGAUAGGGCUGCAGCAUCAGGGCCAAAGCCGAAGGUGCCCUUCCACAUCCCCACCAUCCCACGCCCGCAGGACGUGCACCGCAUUGUGGUGGACAACACGAGCAAGCCAUUCGACCAUACCUUCCUUGAGCGCAGCGAUGACGGUGCCCGUGCCAUACACCCACUGGAAAAACUCCCCAUGGAGCAACUAUUUGACAGGCGUGUUCCUGAAAGUGAGCCAUUAAAGCCACCUGCUUUAGAUGACACCCCUUUUACAUUUGUUGAAGACCGGAAAACCUUGGAAGUGUUGGUGACAAAGCUGAAGAGUGCAACUGAGUUUGCUGUUGAUUUGGAACACAACCACUAUAGGUCUUUUCAGGGUCUCACCUGCCUGAUGCAGAUUUCAACUAGAACCGAGGACUUUAUUGUAGACACUCUUAAGCUCCGCAAUUGUCUUGGUGAGAACUUGAGAGAAGUUUUUCAAGAUCCAACUAAGAAGAAGGUAAUGCAUGGGGCAGGUCGUGAUAUAAUAUGGCUUCAAAGAGACUUUGGAAUAUACGUGUGCAACCUUUUCGACACAGGGCAGGCUUCAAGAAUCUUACAAAUGGACCGCAACAGCCUGGAGCAUCUUCUGCAAUAUUUCUGUGGAGUGACAGCAAACAAAGAAUAUCAGAGUGCAGAUUGGAGGCUGAGGCCACUUCCUGAUGAAAUGACCAAGUAUGCUAGAGAAGAUACACACUAUCUGCUCUACAUAUAUGACUUGAUGCGAUUGCGAUUGGUGAAUGAGUCUUCAGGCGAUGAUCUUCUUUUGGAGGUUUGCAAGCGCAGCAAUGGAAUUUGCUUGCAACUAUAUGAGAAGGAGCUGCUGACUGAUUCAUCAUACCUUUACAUACAUGGGUUGAAAGAAAAUGACUUGAGUGCAAGGCAGCUGGCAGUUCUUGCUGGUCUAUAUCAAUGGAGAGAUGGCGUCGCUCGUGCUGAGGAUGAGAGCACUGGUUAUAUAUUACCCAAUAAGACUCUACUUGAAAUAGCCAAGCAGAUGCCUGUGACCACUGGGAGGUUAAAAAGAACAGUGAAGUCAAAAAAUAAAUUUCUUGAGCACUAUCUCGGACAUGUCAUUACUAUCAUAAGGAAUGCCGUCGCAAAUGCCGAUGCUUUUGAAAGUAUAGCUGAGCAACUGAAGAAGGGAAGGCUGGAAGAGUUAAUGGCGGCAGAAGCGAAGGACGGCAGUGAAGACAGUGAAAUGAUUCCUGCCGUCGAUGCUGAUAGUAAUGAAAGUAAUCUUCAGCUGAUUGCUGAACCUGAUGUAGCUCCCACAGUGAUUACAAAUGUCCAUACUGCUUCUUUCUGUACCGGGAAUGUUACGAGCGGAGCUUCUUUAGGUAAUUUGCAACUAGAUAACAUCACACCUGAAACCAAGAGCUUUGGGGCGUUGCCAGGCGCUACCGGGCAAGCAGAUACAGUGAUACCGAGCAAUGGUGGUGGUCAGCAGCAAGUAAUAAAGGCAACAGUUCAAGUAUCGAAGAGACCUACGGCUUUUGGUGCUCUGUUAGGAAAACCCUCUACCGCAAGAAGGCCAAAUCUAUUUCCAGGAUUUUCAAGUGACCAGAAUAAAAGCAAGGUGGAGAAGAUCAAGUCUUCCGUGGUACUGCCUUUCCAUCAUUUCUCAGGCGGUGCAAAUCCUCCAGCAACUAGCCCUCCAGUAGCAAAAUCGUCGGAACAUGAAGCGGAAAUCAUGUGCGAGGAUCCUGUGUCUCGGAUGGAGGAAGUGAUUCAGCUGGACACUGGAACAGAUGACCCAGAAAACGGCAACGCAGAUGGACAGAGCGAUUGCAAACCUGGAGACACCGAUGUGUCUAGCUCCCCUCCUGAGCCUUCCUCUGGCAUCGAGCAGCGCUGCAGAUCCCUCGACGAGAGCAGAGACCUUCAACAGAAGCACCAAGCACCGGAAGAACUGGAAUUUAAUGAUCAGCUGAAGGCCUUCGAUUACGCUGAAGCUAGAAAGAAUACUUCAUUUGGAGAAGUUAGAUCUGAGAGAAGAAAGGACAAUGCAGUGGCCAGCGCUAUCAAUGUGGAUUCUGGAGAUAAACGGAAAAGUUUGAAACAAACCCCCGGUGCCGGUGGCGGCGAAGAGGAUGAAGGGAACUUCCAGAAUCCACGAAGGCGACAGGCUUUCCCACCUUCUGGCAACAGGAGUGCUACGUACCAUUAG
Molecule: ribosomal RNA, 2733 nt
Filed under: Triticum aestivum (bread wheat)
Lineage: Eukaryota; Viridiplantae; Streptophyta; Magnoliopsida; Poales; Poaceae
Description: partial small subunit ribosomal RNA
Source: RNAcentral